AUGGUAAAAGCACUUUGUGCAUCUGCAUGGACAUAAGGUUUAAUAUCAAGAAACCAAUUCUUAAAAUUCACAUCAUUACAAAAAGACUGAAAAUAAUAUUUUCAUUCAUAAACAAUUUGCAACUUCUACUAACCAGUUCCUCCACCAAAACUUAGGAGCACAAGAAAAUGCGUGAUAUAUAAUGUAAACAAAAAAGAAAAAUUAAUUUCAAGGAGAACAGAAAAAUAAAACUGGUCCCUUACGAUACCAAAAUACGACAAAAAAAUUCUGGCAAAAAAUGAGUGAAAAAGGAAAAUAGAAGUGCAAAAGGAAAAUAGAAGUGCAAAAAGAAGAGCUAACCUCCCG
Molecule: unclassified non-coding RNA, 345 nt
Filed under: Hevea brasiliensis (rubber tree)
Lineage: Eukaryota; Viridiplantae; Streptophyta; Magnoliopsida; Malpighiales; Euphorbiaceae
Source: RNAcentral